Molecule: long non-coding RNA, 644 nt
Filed under: Malus domestica (apple)
Lineage: Eukaryota; Viridiplantae; Streptophyta; Magnoliopsida; Rosales; Rosaceae
Description: long non-coding RNA (MDOM_LNC017700)
Source: RNAcentral
GUAUAAGGAUUGAGAUUCUUGUGUUAAAAAAUUAAUAACAUAAAAAAUAAAAUUUCUCACUACUUACAUAAUAACACAUGGUGUACCACUUGUGUUACGGGCAUAAGGAAAAAUUUCUCCUAGAUGAGACCGAAACUCAAGAAAUUGGAUGAAGAGCUACAUUUAUUAUUGUAGGUAUGUAAAAAAUGUGAGGAAAUUUUAAUUUGGUAAUUGAAAACAACUUUUUUAAAUAUAAUUACUGAGAACAUAAUCUUCUCAAGGUUUUGAUCUAAAUGAUCACUUUUGGGUUCAUCGUUUUCGACGCAAUGGAUGCUUUUACAAGACCAAAAAAGGUCUAAGUUUCAUACCUUAUGAAACUGAACCAAGUUAAACACUAUUUAUAAAACUUGACCAAUAAGUAAACACUAUUCAUGAAAUUAUACCAAUAAGUAGACACUAUUUAUAAAACUGAACCAAUAAGUAGAUAUUAUUUAUGAAAUGAAAACUAGAAUUAUGCACUAUUUCCAAAACUAAAUCAAUAGGUGAAAACUAUUUAUGAAACUGAAUUAUACAUUAUUUAUGAAACUGGACUAAGAACUAGACAAUAUUUAUGAAACUUGACCAAGAACUAGACACUAUUUAUGAAAGUGGACCAAUAACUAGAC